RNAcentral lists this ribosomal RNA (499 nucleotides) under uncultured bacterium. Its description in RNAcentral is "bacterial SSU rRNA". It matches the Rfam family "Bacterial small subunit ribosomal RNA", at positions 29 to 507 of the family's 1533-position model. The record is from RNAcentral.
ACGAACGCUGGCGGCGUGCCUAAUACAUGCAAGUCGAGCGGAAUGAUGAAGAAGCUUGCUUCUUCUGAUUUUAGCGGCGGACGGGUGAGUAACACGUGGGCAACCUACCUUGUAGAUUGGGAUAACUCCGGGAAACCGGGGCUAAUACCGAAUAAUCCAUUUUGCUUCAUGGUGAGAUGUUGAAAGACGGUUUCGGCUGUCACUAUAAGAUGGGCCCGCGGCGCAUUAGCUAGUUGGUAGGGUAAUGGCCUACCAAGGCGACGAUGCGUAGCCGACCUGAGAGGGUGAUCGGCCACACUGGGACUGAGACACGGCCCAGACUCCUACGGGAGGCAGCAGUAGGGAAUCUUCCACAAUGGACGAAAGUCUGAUGGAGCAACGCCGCGUGAGUGAAGAAGGUUUUCGGAUCGUAAAACUCUGUUGUAAGGGAAGAACACGUACGAGAGUAACUGCUCGUACCUUGACGGUACCUUAUUAGAAAGCCACGGCUAACUACGUG